RNAcentral lists this ribosomal RNA (408 nucleotides) under uncultured bacterium. Its description in RNAcentral is "partial 16S ribosomal RNA". It matches the Rfam family "Bacterial small subunit ribosomal RNA", at positions 28 to 526 of the family's 1533-position model. The record is from RNAcentral.
GACGAACGCUGGCGGCGUGCUUAACACAUGCAAGUCGAACGAAGUGGCGAACGGGUGAGUAACGCGUAAUCAACCUGCCCUUCAGAGGGGGACAACAGUUGGAAACGACUGCUCAUACCGCAUACUGAAGGAGGGCAUUGCGUCUGAUUAGCUAGUUGGGGGGGUAACGGCCCACCAAGGCGAUGAUCAGUAGCCGGUCUGAUGGGAUGAACGGCCACAUUGGGACGGAGACACGGACCAGAGUCCUACGUGAGGCAGAAGUAGGGAAGGUGCGGAAAUGGACGAAAGUCUGACCGAGCAACGCCGCGUGAGUGAAGAAGGUUUUCGGAUCGUAAAACUCUGUUGUUAGAGAAGCGGUAUCUAACCAGAAAGCCACGGCUAACUACGUGCCAGCAGCCGCGGGAAUAC